CAUGCAGUCGAACGGCAGCACGGGUGCUUGCACCUGGUGGCGAGUGGCGAACGGGUGAGUAAUACAUCGGAACAUGUCCUGUAGUGGGGGAUAGCCCGGCGAAAGCCGGAUUAAUACCGCAUACGAUCUACGGAAGAAAGCGGGGGACCUUCGGGCCUCGCGCUAUAGGGUUGGCCGAUGGCUGAUUAGCUAGUUGGUGGGGUAAAGGCCUACCAAGGCGACGAUCAGUAGCUGGUCUGAGAGGACGACCAGCCACACUGGGACUGAGACACGGCCCAGACUCCUACGGGAGGCAGCAGUGGGGAAUUUUGGACAAUGGGCGAAAGCCUGAUCCAGCAAUGCCGCGUGUGUGAAGAAGGCCUUCGGGUUGUAAAGCACUUUUGUCCGGAAAGAAAUCCUGAGGGCUAAUAUCCUUCGGGGAUGACGGUACCGGAAGAAUAAGCACCGGCUAACUACGUGCCAGCAGCCGCGGUAAUACGUAGGGUGCGAGCGUUAAUCGGAAUUACUGGGCGUAAAGCGUGCGCAGGCGGUUUGCUAAGACCGAUGUGAAAUCCCCGGGCUCAACCUGGGAACUGCAUUGGUGACUGGCAGGCUAGAGUAUGGCAGAGGGGGGUAGAAUUCCACGUGUAGCAGUGAAAUGCGUAGAGAUGUGGAGGAAUACCGAUGGCGAAGGCAGCCCCCUGGGCCAAUACUGACGCUCAUGCACGAAAGCGUG
RNAcentral lists this ribosomal RNA (715 nucleotides) under bacterium. Its description in RNAcentral is "bacterial SSU rRNA". It matches the Rfam family "Bacterial small subunit ribosomal RNA", at positions 54 to 763 of the family's 1533-position model. The record is from RNAcentral.